GACGAACGCUGGCGGCGUGCUUAACACAUGCAAGUCGAACGAUGAAGUUCCUUCGGGAAUGGAUUAGUGGCGAACGGGUGAGGAACACGUGAGAAACCUGCCUUUCAUUUUGGGAUAACUCCGGAAAACCGGGGCUAAAACCGAAUACUCCGUCUCGGCGGCAUCGCUGAGCCGGGAAAAAAUUUUGAUGAAAGAUGGUCUCGCGGCCUAUCAGCUAGUUGGUGAGGUAAUGGCUCACCAAGGCAACGACGGGUAGCCGGCCUGAGAGGGCGACCGGCCACACUGGGACUGAGACACGGCCCAGACUCCUACGGGAGGCAGCAGUGGGGAAUACUGGGCAAUGGGCGCAAGCCUGACCCAGCGACGCCGCGUGAGGGAUGAAGGCCUUCGGGUUGUAAACCUCUUUCAGUAGGGAAGAAGCGAAAGCGACGGUACCUAAAGAAGAAGCACCGGCUAACUAUGUGCCAGCCGCCGCCGUAA
Molecule: ribosomal RNA, 480 nt
Filed under: uncultured bacterium
Lineage: Bacteria
Description: partial 16S ribosomal RNA
Rfam family: Bacterial small subunit ribosomal RNA
Source: RNAcentral